AGACCCGAAACCCGGUGAUCUAGCCAUGGGCAGGUUGAAGGUUGGGUAACACUAACUGGAGGACCGAACCGACUAAUGUUGAAAAAUUAGCGGAUGACCUGUGGCUGGGGGUGAAAGGCCAAUCAAACCGGGAGAUAGCUGGUUCUCCCCGAAAGCUAUUUAGGUAGCGCCUCGUGAAUUCAUCUCCGGGGGUAGAGCACUGUUUCGGCUAGGGGGCCAUCCCGGCUUACCAACCCGAUGCAAACUGCGAAUACCGGAGAAUGUUAUCACGGGAGACACACGGCGGGUGCUAACGUCCGUCGUGAAGAGGGAAACAACCCAGACCGCCAGCUAAGGUCCCAAAGUCAUGGUUAAGUGGGAAACGAUGUGGGAAGGCCCAGACAGCCAGGAUGUUGGCUUAGAAGCAGCCAUCAUUUAAAGAAAGCGUAAUAGCUCACUGGUCGAGUCGGCCUGCGCGGAAGAUGUAACGGGGCUAAACCAUGCACCGAAGCUGCGGCAGCGAACGUAUCACCCAAGACAACUUUACGGAGUUGACGAUUGACGGAGCGAAGCGACGUCAAAGCGUUCAUUAAAGUCGAGUUGGCUUAGGGAUACGUUCGUUGGGUAGGGGAGCGUUCUGUAAGCCUGUGAAGGUGUGUCGUGAGGCAUGCUGGAGGUAUCAGAAGUGCGAAUGCUGACAUAAGUAACGAUAAAGCGGGUGAAAAGCCCGCUCGCCGGAAGACCAAGGGUUCCUGUCCAACGUUAAUCGGGGCAGGGUGAGUCGACCCCUAAGGCGAGGCCGAAA
RNAcentral lists this ribosomal RNA (784 nucleotides) under Salmonella enterica. RNAcentral describes it as "partial 23S ribosomal RNA". It matches the Rfam family "Bacterial large subunit ribosomal RNA", at positions 711 to 1407 of the family's 2925-position model. Lineage: Bacteria; Pseudomonadati; Pseudomonadota; Gammaproteobacteria; Enterobacterales; Enterobacteriaceae. The record is from RNAcentral.